Molecule: ribosomal RNA, 443 nt
Filed under: uncultured soil bacterium
Lineage: Bacteria
Description: bacterial SSU rRNA
Rfam family: Bacterial small subunit ribosomal RNA
Source: RNAcentral
CACGGGGGGAACGGAAGAACCUUACCUACCCUUGACAUCCUGCGAACCCGUCGGAGACGACGGGGUGCCUUCGGGAGCGCAGAGACAGGUGCUGCAUGGCUGUCGUCAGCUCGUGUUGUGAAAUGUUGGGUUAAGUCCCGUAACGAGCGCAACCCCUGUCCCUAUUUGCCAGCACGUAAAGGUGGGAACUCUAGGGAGACUGCCGGUGACAAACCGGAGGAAGGUGGGGACGACGUCAAGUCAUCAUGGCCCUUACGGGUAGGGCUACACACGUGCUACAAUGGCAGGUACAAAGGGCCGCAAGACGGCGACGUGGAGCGAAUCCCAGAAAGCCUGCCUCAGUUCGGAUCGGAGUCUGCAACUCGACUCCGUGAAGUCGGAAUCGCUAGUAAUCGUGAAUCAGAAUGUCACGGUGAAUACGUUCCCGGGUCUUGUACACACGC